AUUCUUGUGAUAGUGAAUAACUCUCACGAGAUCUGAUGGUUUAUCAGGUGUUUCUGCUUUUUCAUCUUUCUCAUUUUUCUCUUGCCGCUGCCAUGUAAGAUGUGCCUUUCACCUCUCACCAUGAUUCUGAGUCCUCCCCAGCCAUGUGGAACUGUCUUUUAUUGGGUACUGGUUCUUAACUCUGGACUUCUCUACAAGUUUUGUCAAACUAUCAAAUGCAGAGCAAGUUGGAGGCCUGCCAGAGCACCCAGAGGAUGGAAUGAAGCAACAGGGAGGCAUCAGGAAAGGAGAACACAGAUGGAGACAGAGGUGGGAGGCAUAAGCGCCACCUACUGGCACAGUCUUGCACUUGCACAGAUAGGAGGGCUGAAAAGUUGGUCAUGGAUGGAAAUAACUGCUCGUUUCACAAAUGAGGAGGCAGAAAAUUCCACUUAAUUUUACUACUAGAAUGCUCAGCAGAAAAAAAAAAAAAAAAACUUGGAUUACUGAGCUACAGAACACCCAGACUCAUAGCACUGGGACUUCCAGGUCUUACCUUAUGAGUGGUUCACAACGCUGACAAAGGGGACAAUAUCCAUUAGCCAUUAUCUUGUUGCGUAUGAAUAACCCUCUCUUACAAAAAAAUAAAGAUAGAUAUGUUC
Molecule: long non-coding RNA, 641 nt
Organism: Rhinopithecus roxellana (golden snub-nosed monkey)
Lineage: Eukaryota; Metazoa; Chordata; Mammalia; Primates; Cercopithecidae
Exons: 3
Source: RefSeq, a predicted model, not a curated record